CGCGUAGGUGGUAGUGCAAGUCUGGGGUGGAAUCCCAGGGCUUAACCCUGGAACUGCCUUGGAAACUGUAUUACUUGAGUCAGUGAGGGGAGGGUAGAAUUCCUGGUGUAGCGGUGAAAUGCGUAGAUAUCAGGAGGAAGGCCUGUGGCGAAGGCGGCCCUCUGGCGCUGAACUGACACUGAGGCGCGAAAGCGUGGGGAGCAAACAGGAUUAGAUACCCUGGUAGUCCACGCCCUAAACGGUGGGUACUAGGUGUAGGGUUCGUAAGGGUUCUGUGCCGAAGCGAAAGCAUUAAGUACCCCGCCUGGGGAGUACGGCCGCAAGGUUGAA
RNAcentral lists this ribosomal RNA (330 nucleotides) under uncultured bacterium. Its description in RNAcentral is "bacterial SSU rRNA". It matches the Rfam family "Bacterial small subunit ribosomal RNA", at positions 568 to 898 of the family's 1533-position model. The record is from RNAcentral.